CCGAACCCAAACCCUCUCUCCCUCCUCCCACCGCCCUCUCUCUCCAUCUCUGCUCUCUGCCUCCCGCCGCCGCCUCCCCCCUCCUCCCCGGUCCGUCGCCCCUCCCAGCGGCCGCUCCUCCUGCUCUCCGCCACCGCCGCCCGCUCCCGCGAGAUCCGGAUCCAGCGCGGGGCGUGGCUCGGAGGGCGCAGCUGCUCCAGCGCAUAGAGCGGAGCGAUGGCCGCCGCGUGCCCAGGCCCUUGCCCAGCCACACCUUGGACGUGGAGGAGGAGGCGUGACUCGCCGAGGUCGACGGUGAGGCGGCGACGCAGGCGCGGGAGAGCGUGCUCCUUUGAAGCUACCCCACGCAAGGUGGGAGAUGGAUGGCGGCGCAAGAACAGGGGCGGGCGGUUCCAUGGCUCUGACUGGAAGAGCUUCUCCUCUUCCCCAGGCUCCAGAGGAGGCUCCCGCUCAGGAGGUGACACAGCUUCUCGCCCGGGCCGCUCGCUCACAUUUGACCAUUGUCGCGUGCAGCGCUCCUCGCGCCUCGCCAUCCGUGCCCCAUGAUGGUCUGCGCCCCUUGGUUGCCUACCACUCCAGAUCGGUUUGUCUCAUAUUCUUCAUCCCCUGAACACCAUGACAGUCACCACACCGGAGGCAAGUGGCGGAGGCAACCGAGCAGCCACCCUGCUCCAGCAGGGGAGCCAAGAGGUUGAUGUGCAACACGAUGCAAUUGCACUAUCAAGAAUAUCAUGUAUUCCGCAAAGCAAAGAGGUAAAAUGGAAGAGGUAUUUGGGAAGAACUGCAAAAACACCAUGAGGUGAAAAAACAUUUACCGACUGGCGUUUGCAAGUUGUUAGGUGAGUUAAUCAUGAAAUGUUCAUAUAAGCAGGUGGCCGCAAUUCCACCUGUCACUGUAAUUAAUUUGAACGCAUGUCAGUGUGUGCUAUUUAGUUCAAGAUCUGAUAGGUAUUGGCCUGGGUUACCAAGCUUACUGCAAGUUAGGAUAUAUGAUUCGUUGGUCUGAACUGUGGCUUGGUUGAUCUAAAUGCUGUAACAUCAAAACAUAUAGAGAUGUGUUAUCUAUCUUUGCACUAAUGAAAUCAUAUUAGAGAAGUACAAAUGAUCACCAGGCACAAGAUUAUUGACUAGGUCACUUUCAAUUACACUCUAUUUUCCCUUCCUUCAGGUUAUGCCUCCCUCCCCCCUUCCCUCUCUUUAGUGCGCAUACUUGCAGGGCCAGUGAGCUUGGUCUAUUUUUUCAUAGUUCAAUUAGUAGCUGUAGGUGGAAGUAAUUUUUUUCCUAAUGAGAAAACUGCAUGGUUGAAUGCAGAUUAAGCAGGAAAUUCAAAAUUUUAAAUUGAAGUUGAUUAAGUACCUUAAUGUUGUUCUCAUACAAGGUAAUUCAAAAUAUUGUCUUGCCUUCUUGAUAUUCCAGUUGAUAUUAGAAAGGAUGUAAUCAGAAAAGAGCCAAAUCAAAUAUUCUGGCCAUAAUCAUUCAGCAUGCCUACUUUCCUUCUAUUAGGUACGACCAUAAAUCUUUGACAGAUUAGUGUUUUUAAUCAGUGCAGUAGAUUAUUGUCCUUUUUUAAGCAUGUUGAUGUUUUUAGUCAUUAGCCCUUGAUGUUUGGAAAUUUCAGACCCACAAAAAUAUUUUUAAGCAUGUUCCUUGUCUCUUUUUUCUUGUUCAGAAUGAUAGAUUGUUCCAAACUAUGUUGCACCAGAGUUGAUAACGCUUUGCUUUUGCAAUUUACGUGUUCUUACCUAUCCGAUUUGUUAAGAGCUUGUGAUUCCUUCACUUUCUGGGAAUGCAAAUUACUACAGAGAGUUGAUGCAGCCAUAGUAUACGAUGAUUUAUUGACCUCUCAGUUGUAUGCUAACAAAUGUUUGUAGAACCUGAUAUCGGAAAAGUAUUUUCUAAGGAUCGGAAAGCAAGGCUGUUCAGGUAAAUAUUAUCUUAGGGAUUCUGGAGUAGCAAACUGAAAUUCUGCUCAGUGUGACAGUGCCACAGUUUUAACUAUCUAGACAAUAGAAAUCUGGACUCUUGCUAUUAGAUAUGGCAACUACUGCUUGACUGAACAUAAUGAUUUGUCAUGUUUGCUACCACACUAUUUUUGCAUUGAUCAUUGAUAAAAAGUAUUCAUGCUCAUGUUGAUGGAAUGUUGUUCUAUAGGAGGUUAUUCUCUGGUUUUGUAUUAAUUAAAAUGUGGUUUUGUAUGAAUUAAAAUGGCUUAGUGGGUACAUAUUUAUUUUCGGAUAAAAAGAAAGAUACGAAUAUCAGGAUCAGGGUACGGUUGGGCAUCAAUAUUAGGAUAUGGCUUGAUGUUAACUUCUAUAGAUGGUUGUUCUUUAAUUUUGUGAACUAUAUUAUAAAUUGCCUCCGAUUGUAACAAAACAGAGACCACUAAGUGGCUUCUCUCGUGUCCAUUGUAGCAUUAGUCGCUUUACUGUUUGUGACAAAGCUUCUCAAAAAAGAAUACCAUUUUUUUCGAGGAAGGAAGAAUAGCAUUUGUUUAGGUAAACUUGUAAUGUGGAGGCUUCUUUGAUUCAGGAUUGCUUAUGCAACGAUUCUUAGGUUUCUUUGCAGUUAGGUUACGUAGCCACCAUGAUUAAUCUUACAUCAAACUAUUUCAUAUCUGCCUAUUGCAUUAAUCUUCUGUACAUCCUACUUCCUGAUUUAACUAACAUUUUAUUUAAUGGCUCUUACAGAUUUGCUGUUUGUAACAAAGCUUAUCAAGGGAUGUAUAGUUUCUGCGUUUCCUCAGAAAGAAAAAUAUAUUGUAUUUUUAGAUUUUAAUUGUGAAUGAGCUUUCAUAUGUACCAAAGGGAGUACCUCGAUUCAAUUUAAAACUUGCUGGUGUAUUAUUCUUUUUGACAUGCAUGUAUUUGCUGUUUAAAUCCAGCCUUUAAUUGAUACGUG
Long non-coding RNA from Panicum hallii, 2899 nucleotides. RefSeq lists it as uncharacterized. The transcript has 2 exons. The record is from RefSeq and is a predicted model, not a curated record. Lineage: Eukaryota; Viridiplantae; Streptophyta; Magnoliopsida; Poales; Poaceae.